This is a long non-coding RNA of Sapajus apella (tufted capuchin), 1525 nucleotides long. RefSeq lists it as uncharacterized. The transcript is spliced from 2 exons. The record is from RefSeq and is a predicted model, not a curated record. Lineage: Eukaryota; Metazoa; Chordata; Mammalia; Primates; Cebidae.
AUAUUUCUGUCUGUAUCACAAAGCUCUUUGAUCUCCUGCCACUGAGUAAGCGAAACAGCUGAAAAUGAGAGCCCAGGCUGAUCCCCGUGGGUGCCAAACUUUGAUGUCCAUGGAAUCUGCAGCAUCUCCUAGUCUCCUAGCUGAAAAUAGCUACCACCACCAUUAGAGGGGGCUUGAGAGACCGCAGUGACUACCCAUGGUGUGCCGCUGUCACCCAAAAGGCUACAGACUGCAAGGUGUUCAUCAGAUAAUACUGAGAUAAGCCUUAGAUGACUGACUAAAAGGUUCCAGUCGGGUUGCUUUUUACCUGUUCUUAUUUUUGCUUACUGAUUUUGGAAUCUGACUCCAGCUUCCUUUCCCUUACUGGGCCCAUGAUCUGUGUCUGUCUGCAUGGAGGAGAGAAAAGAGGCUGAUAAGGUCAGCUCAGUUCUCUGGGAAGCCCCAGCAAACUUCCUGCAUCAUCUUGCUCCUUGUCCUCAGUCUCACAGAGCCUCCCAGAAUCCUGCUUUCCUCCAGUCCGUAGUCUGGGUAGGCCAGGGUGUGAGUCUGCAGCAGUCCCAGGUGGGAAAUCCAGAACCCAGAGCCAAAGUCCAGGGUAUGGCACUCUAAGCUCCCAAAUCUAAGCUCAUUAGAUUUCUCAUGCCCGUAGGAGAUGGGCAUGAGGCUGCCGCUGGCUCAUGUAGUUGUGUGCCUCAGCACAAGCUGGGUGCUGUGGAGAAUACAGCAGGACUUAGAGACAUGGCCCAGCCCUCUCUUGGGGAUCACAUGGAUGUGCCUUGGGAGAUUCUGGACAACCCUGCAGAAGUGCUGGAGUGCUACCCAGAGGGCUGCAGAGGGCAUGGGUCUGUGCCUCACAAACUUAAAGUCCAUAAAAUCACCUGAGGACUAUUGAGUCUGCACUUCAGAGAUGCUGUGGGUGUGAGAUUAGAUAUGCUGUGUCAUUUUUUUUCCAGGGUGGAUUGGAAGGAGCUUAUGACCUAGGACCUACUUUGAUGAUUAAAAGUAAAACAGGCAGGGGGCACCUGGAUUUGAACCAGGGACCUCUUGAUCUGCAGUCAAAUGCUCUACCCCUGAGCUAUACCCCCAGUGGUAGAAGAAUAGCGUAAUUAACCCCCUUUUCAUGUGUCCCCAGCACACCAAGAGCAAGACCCAGCUCUGCCGGUUGGGAUGUCCAGACCGGUUCUGUUUCUCUUAACUCUGGCCUCCCUCCUGUCACUAAUACUUCUUUCUCCAUCACUUCUGUGUGCUCCUGGCUGAGGACACCCUGGUGACCUGGUUGAGCUUUAUAACUGGAGAGACCCUUCAAGUCAUCCAGAUAAUCCUCUUUGACAGUAGCAAUUUUUGAGCAUCAUGCCAGGUGUUCUGGGCUGGGGCAGAACUCUAACUGGGUGACACCACCUUCCCCUGCACUGAAAGGACACCCAGAGCCUGUGUCUGGAGGCUUGUAUUUGAUGUUGAAUACUGUUCGUGAUAAUUUGUCAAGUGAAAAGCAAUUGCAUUUGUUUAAAAAAAAAAAUAAAAGAGU